UCUCCGUUGGUGAGCCAGCGGAGGGAUCAUUACAGGGUUUUCACAACUCCCAACCCUUGCGAACCGUACCCAUUCUGUUCUCGUUGCUUCCGGCGGGGGGGACGGGGGGGCCCGAAACGGCCUCCCCGCCCCGCCCGCCGGGGGCGGCGGGCCCUACGAACCUUUAUAUCUCAACCACCAGAAACCGUCUGAGAGAACAAACAAAAUAAUCAAAACUUUCAACAACGGAUCUCUUGGCUCUG
Molecule: unclassified non-coding RNA, 242 nt
Filed under: plant metagenome
Description: partial contains small subunit ribosomal RNA, internal transcribed spacer 1, and 5.8S ribosomal RNA
Source: RNAcentral